Labrus mixtus (cuckoo wrasse) is the source of this 2293-nucleotide long non-coding RNA. RefSeq lists it as uncharacterized. Lineage: Eukaryota; Metazoa; Chordata; Actinopteri; Labriformes; Labridae. The record is from RefSeq and is a predicted model, not a curated record. The transcript is spliced from 2 exons.
GUCAGUGCAGAAUAAAAGAAAUAAUUAGAGAAAAGUUGAGGAUUUUAAAAGCAAGCAGGAAGUCGAUUUCUCUCUUCUUUAUGUGGUAAGUUUCCAUGGCGAGAAGUGGUUUUUGGUUUUGUCAAGCUGGGUUUUUCGUCACUCCUCUUUUUUUUGUCAGCUGGUUUCUGUCUCAACGUCACACACACACGCAUACACACACGCAUACAUACCAGUUUAAUUAGCCAUCAUUUAUCUCAGUUUUCCCUCUUUUUCCACUGUUUAUCCAAACGUCAGGAAUGACACGGGCCAAUUAGUGCAAUGAAAUAGUUUAACCCUCUGUAACACUUGGAGCAGUGCACACCAAGGGGGAUAUUUGCCUCGGAGCUCAAGGACGCGAGGGGUUCUAACAAAAGAAAACAGAAGAAAUAAAGCACAGGAGUAAGAUACUAGUGUUGUUUUUCCUCGAUUAUUAAGUCUGUAUAUUUUGUAUUUUUAUUUCAGGUUCAUCACACAAAAGAAGUGUUCUUUUUUGUGGGGAGGGGCACAAAAUGUGUGAUAAUGCGACGGAGAGUAUCAUUAUUUGAAGUUUUGUCAUUAGUGGCGGGCUAAAUUGACCCUAAGAUUGCCUAGCACUUCAAAAACACAGAAAUCCAGGGUAACAGCUGGAUAAUAGUUGCAGCAGUGAUUUACUAAUUGUCUCCAGGAUUCAGAUUAAUAAUUGGCAAAAGCUUUAGCACAAGUGCACAUCUAAGUACUCUUUGUCACUCACUUGUAUCUUCAGGAAAAAAAAAAAAAAAAAAGCGCAAAAGGCGGCUGAGACGAUAUCAUUAACAGUCUCUCCAAAUUGAAACAGUCAUCAAGAGUGUCUUUUAAAUGUCUCCGGGAGCUUCUUUUUUUUUUUUUUUUCUCCUCCGUUGAGUGCAAAUGACAUCUCGCUCAUUUUGCUGGUGGCAACAUGACUGAUGUGUUGAAUAAGAAAGUCCGUUUUGACGCGUUUGAAGGCUGCGGGUUUUUGAAGUAUAUGAUUCUGAAGUGCCGGCAUAUGCUUAGCGAGAUAAGUCAUUUGACACGCAGACAUCACAGCCCUGCAAAUCUUUCGUCUGGCUGCCUUGAGUGUCCACGUCGGGCGCUUUUUCAAGAACACUUUGCGACUGUCACAACUGACUGUCAAGCGCGCAAAUGACACACGCAAACGAGCUUCAUUCUGAACACAGAUUAAGACAGCUGUCAUAUCAAAAAAAAAUAUCAAUUCAUCCGGACUAAAAAUACAGUUAAUUUCAUCUCGGGCGCUUUAAAAAAUUAAUUUGCUAUUUAGGCACCAAAGAAUCCUCCUUUUUAGCAUCAGUUUGUUCAUUAGAGUAAUUAAAUUAGCUGCUCGUCCUCGGGAGGGAAACAAGAUUUAACACGGGAUUUAUUGAAAGCAACACGGCAAUAACACAGCUAUUCAGAUGACGGAAGAGCUUCUCCUGCUGGUAUCUUUCCCCGAAUAAGGCAUUUGACUGAGACACAUAAAAACUACUAUACACACAGAGACAGAGUGUAUGUUUACACACUAACGCACGCACACACAUGUGUAGACAGGGGGUCAGAGCAGCAAACGAAGUCGCUGACAUCGUGGCACUUCUUUGGCAGCGUUAUGCAGGUGUUGUCUGCACACAGGCUUCGGAAUAAAUGGAUCUGAAAUGAUUUACCUAGGGUAUCAGCCACCUGAGCACAGACACACACAGACACACACAGACACACACUUCUUCCCUCCCUCUUACUGAGACGCUGACGCAGACACAUACCAAACACCGGGAGGGGGAAAAAAAAAAGGAAGAAAUCUGGCAGAGGAGCAUCCUAUUGUGUCGUCCUGACUCACAUUAUCUGACAAAUGCACAGAUUCACCAAUGUGAGCUUCAUCCCACAGGUUACACUCUGCUUCUGCGAUUUGAGCUGAUUUAUACACAUUUUGUUUUCAGACAUAAUGGAAAAUAUGACUGAGGUCAUGCUUAGUGUAGCUCAUCCUCUGACCUCAGCUUCUUCAGCCACGUCUGCAACAUAUUAAGUGAAAUAUCCACCAUUACACGCUAACCGCUAGCGACGGCUCUGCACAGGCAGCAGCACAGAGAGCGAGUGGCUCAGGGCGAGACAUCCGGAUCACGGCCGCUAUUGUCGCUUAUAAGCCACUCGCAAUCAUCCUGAGGAAAGGAACACCUUGUGUUUGUUGUGUGUGUGUGAGAAGAAAAAAUACAGUGUAUGUACAUCAAUAAAUAACACUGAAUUUGUACUGUUGUUCAAGCUGUGCAGCCAUAAAAUCAGCUGGAUAUGA